This is a long non-coding RNA of Gorilla gorilla gorilla (western lowland gorilla), 3796 nucleotides long. RefSeq lists it as uncharacterized. The record is from RefSeq and is a predicted model, not a curated record. NCBI's taxonomy places the organism in Eukaryota, Metazoa, Chordata, Mammalia, Primates, Hominidae. The transcript has 4 exons.
AAGGAGCUUGCAGCCGGGAGCUGCGCGGCCGCGCUGAGAGUCACGUGGUGCGCCGGGAAGCCGCCCCGCCUCUUGGAGAGCUCACGGCCUCGCUCCGCUCCUUUCCUGGCGGGAGGCUCUGAGCCACCCGCAACUGUGCAGGGCGGCCAGGGGUUAAAACAAAGUCACAAGUCAGACCCACACUCACAGGGAGAAGAUUAUGCAAGAGCAAAAGCACGAGAUGGAAACCAUGGGGCCAUCUUAUAGUCUGUCUGCCGCAGAAAGAUGAUCACAAAUCCUGCCUAGCUUCAUCAAUGUCCAGCCUCCAGAGGGCCUUCCCAGGAGGGUAGGCGUUAAUGCAAGCAAGUGGUGGUCUGCAUAGCUGAGCAGAGUCUGCUGUGUUUCUGAUAAAUUGUGAAGAGCCACAGACCUUUGCCUAAUGAAGGGCCUCAAGCUCCUGCUGGAAAUAAAAUAGUGUGGGAUAGAGAGCACCUCAAGAGUACACAGGAGACCAUCUCUUUUACUGAUGUGCGGGACAGGCCUGGCCAGUGAGUUAGGUGUGAGUUCAGAUCCCAAACAAGACACCAAGGUAACUUACAGGGGGAAUGUUGGGAGGAUUCAAGGAAGAACUCAGAGUGGCUAGAAUGUUUAUUUAGAGAACAACAGAAAUUAUCUGACAAACUGGGUAAACCACUUGGCAUUUUUUGUCUUUUUCCCUUUUGUUGCUUCAACGAACCAUGUUUUAGCCUGUACUUGUUAUUCUCCAUGUUCCUCCAUGUUCUGUCCAUGGAGCUUUCUCCUUUAGUUUUAAAAAUCAUGGCUGGGCACGGUGGCUCAUGCCUGUAAUCUCAGCACUUUGGGAGGCCGAGGCAAGCAGAUCACAAGGUCAGGAAAUUGAGACCAUCCUGGCUAACACGGUGAAACCCCGUCUCUACUAAAAAAUACAAAAAAUUAGCCAGGUGUGGUGGCAGGUGCCUGUAGUCCCAGCUACUCGGGAGGCUGAGGCAGGAGAAUGGCACGAAUCCGGGAGGCAGAGCUUGCAGUGAGCCGAGAUUGCGCCACUGCACUCCAGCCUGGGUGACAGAGCGAGACUCUGUUUCAAAAAAUUAAAAUUAAAAUUAAAAAAAAAUAAAAUUGCAGAAGUUUGGGUUGGUUUUAGUUUUGCUGGUUUUUUACACCUCUUGAAGAAGAGAGGUUUACCAAGAGCACUGCAUUCUCCAAUAAAGCAAAUGGGCUGGGCUCAGUGGCUCACACAGAUAAUCCCAGCCCUUUGGGAGGCUGUGGCAGGAGGAUCACUUGAGCCCAGAAGUUCAAGACCAGCCUGGACACCAUAUUGAAACCUUGUUUCUACAAAAAAUAUAAAAUUAACUGGGGGUGGUGGCGCAUGCCUGUAGUCCCAGCUGACAUGUGUAGUGCCAGCUGACAUGUGUAGUCCCAGCUGACAUGCAAGGAUUGCUUGAGCCUGGGCGUUCAAGGCUGCAGUGAGCUAUAAUCUUACCACUGCACUCCAGCCUGCGUGAUAGAGCAAGACUCUCUCCCUUGUACAGUAAAAUAAAAUAAAUAAAAAUAAUAAUAAAACAAGGGAAGAUGACAGUUCAAUGUACAUUCAAUCUUUAGUAAUUGCUAAAAUAUCUUUGCAUCUAUUUAUAAAAAGAGAUAAAUCUUUCCAUAAUUCAUCAGAGAGUAGUGGGUUUUAGUAACUGUAGUAUAAUGUGUAACUCAUUUGCUCCAUGAAGCACUAACUUCCAUACAAGUAAUUUUUUGUAUGUGUGUUGUGUAUGUUUAUGUGUGUUGGGAGAAAGUCUAGACUCCUUACCCACAAAAAGAAAGUGAAUUCCAGAAAAGGUUUAACUUAUCUAGGAAGAGAAGAAAACUAAUGCAAAUCUUGCUAUUAACUUAAUGCAUCACGAAAAUUACUUCACCUAAGUGUUUUGUGCCAUAUUUUCUAGCAUCUGUAGUAUGAUUAUAAUAAUAACCUUCUUAGAGAAGAAAAUCUUUUUUUCCAAAAAUUACACUGCCCUCAAUCACGAAUUUUGCUUCAAAAUUCAUAUUUACAUUCUGUUUUAUAAGGUUAUUUUUCUAAAUACUUUUUCAACCCAAAUGUCAUGCAAAUGUUUUGAAAUCAUCACAAUGAAAAGCACAAUGUUCAAGUCUGUAGAAGGCAACAUUCCAUUGUAGAUGUUCCUUUAUUACUUUUUCUUUUCCAUGCUUACAUUCAUAAAUUUUUAAAGUAUGCACAGUACCUCCUAAAGAAACAUAUUUAAAUAACAUUUGAUUUAGCAAUAUAUUUGAGUGGAAUACUUGCAUUUUUUUUACUCACUUAUAGGAAGACAAAGAUAUGGCUUUGUGGAAAAAGAUUUAUUUCGUCUAAAUUCUACAUAAAUUAUGCAUUUCCAAUAAAUCAAAAUUUUCUCCUUUUUUUUCAUUUUUGUUGAAAACAUCCCACUUUUUACAAUACAUUUUUGUAUUAUUACAAUGAAAGGGUUUGAACUACAAUUACAAAGUUGCAGAAGAAUAUGGUCAUUUAAGAGCUUGAUUAAUUUUUGUUUUUUAAAUUGUAAUUGUUUUUUGUCUUAGAGGACUUCAUAAUUAAUUUUCAAUGUAAGCGAUAUUCUUUGGAGGCAUCACCCACAGAUUACAAAAUGUUAUUUCUCUAUUUUAUAGCCAUUAAGGAAAUAUUUGGAAUUUUGAAUGAGUCUCUACAAAGAGAAAAGUUGUGAAUCACUACUGACCCUCAGGAAAUGAAUGAGGCUAGUUGUAGAAAGCUUCAUGCAGAUAGAAAUUAAAAAUCACUUUCUUAUUUUCCAGGUUAUAGAAAUGCUCUUUAAGACCAACUGGAGAUGUCAGUAUGACUCAUGUAUAUUUUACAGAGGUCAAUUUGAUAUAGAAACCAAAUUGACAUAGAAUUCAAUUAUACACUCAUACAUACAGACACACGCAAGUGUGUGUGGGCGUGUAUCUUUUAUUACUUACAGAAAGCUAUUUAUUAAAGUUUACUUUCAUAAAAAGACAAAGUCCGGUUCCUUGGUCACCACAGACAGUGUUUUCAAAUGAAUCCUAUCAUUUUAGCAGACUGUAUGAUGUUUUCAUAACAUUGUAGUUAAAGAUGCAGGCUUUGGUACAGCCAUAUGAUGGAUACCACCCAGAAAUAGAAGAGGAGGGGAUGCUUGAUUUAGGCAACAACACGGAUGGUUCUUAAAUGCACUUUUCUAAAUGAAAGACACCAAAUUCAAAAGGCUGUACACUGUAUGUCACACUUCAUGUGACAUUAUGGAAAAGGCAAACUAUAGGAAAGGUAAACAUACCAAGAUCUGUGGUUCCCAAGGGCUGGUUGCCUCUCAAGGGAGCAGGAGCUGUCUAAAAAGUGGCCACACAAGGGGAUUUUUAGGGUGAUAGAACUGUUCUAUGUGGUACUUUGAUGCAUAUUUGAUGCAUUUUUUACACCACAAGGAUAAACUUAACCACGUGCAAACUUUUAUUACAGUUUUUGAUAGCUUUACUGAGGCACAACUGACAUAAAAAGACCUGUACACAUUUCACCAUAUACAAACAUUAACUCAAGAUAGAUUAAAGAAGAAAACCUAGGAAACACCAUUCUGAACAUCAGCCUUUGGAAAGAAUUUAUGACUACGUCAUCAAAAGCAAUGGCAACAAAACCAAAAAUUGACAAGUGGAACUUAAUUAAACUAAAGAGCUUCUGCACAGCAAAAGAAACUAUAAACAGAGUAAACAGACAACAUACAGAACGGGAGAAAAUAUUCACAAACUACAUAUACAACAAAGUUCUUAUUUCCAGAAUCUAUAAGGAACUUUAACA